UACGGAGGGGGCUAGCGUUGUUCGGAAUUACUGGGCAUAAAGCGCACGUAGGCGGCUUUGUAAGUUAGAGGUGAAAGCCCAGGGCUUAACCCUGGAAUUGCCUUUAAGACUGCAUCGCUAGAAUCGUGGAGAGGUAAGUGGAAUUCCGAGUGUAGAGGUGAAAUUCGUAGAUAUUCGGAAGAACACCAGUGGCGAAGGCGACUUACUGGACACGUAUUGACGCUGAGGUGCGAAAGCGUGGGGAGCAAACAGG
This 253-nucleotide ribosomal RNA is filed under the name uncultured bacterium. RNAcentral describes it as "partial 16S ribosomal RNA". It matches the Rfam family "Bacterial small subunit ribosomal RNA", at positions 524 to 776 of the family's 1533-position model. The record is from RNAcentral.